GUCGAGCGAACAGAUAAGGAGCUUGCUCCUUUGACGUUAGCGGCGGACGGGUGAGUAACACGUGGGUAACCUACCUAUAAGACUGGGAUAACUUCGGGAAACCGGAGCUAAUACCGGAUAACAUUUGGAACCGCAUGGUUCUAAAGUGAAAGAUGGUUUUGCUAUCACUUAUAGAUGGACCCGCGCCGUAUUAGCUAGUUGGUAAGGUAACGGCUUACCAAGGCGACGAUACGUAGCCGACCUGAGAGGGUGAUCGGCCACACUGGAACUGAGACACGGUCCAGACUCCUACGGGAGGCAGCAGUAGGGAAUCUUCCGCAAUGGGCGAAAGCCUGACGGAGCAACGCCGCGUGAGUGAUGAAGGGUUUCGGCUCGUAAAACUCUGUUAUUAGGGAAGAACAAACGUGUAAGUAACUGUGCACGUCUUGACGGUACCUAAUCAGAAAGCCACGGCUAACUACGUGCCAGCAGCCGCGGUAAUACGUAGGUGGCAAGCGUUAUCCGGAAUUAUUGGGCGUAAAGCGCGCGUAGGCGGUUUCUUAAGUCUGAUGUGAAAGCCCACGGCUCAACCGUGGAGGGUCAUUGGAAACUGGGAAACUUGAGUGCAGAAGAGGAAAGUGGAAUUCCAUGUGUAGCGGUGAAAUGCGCAGAGAUAUGGAGGAACACCAGUGGCGAAGGCGACUUUCUGGUCUGUAACUGACGCUGAUGUGCGAAAGCGUGGGGAUCAAACAGGAUUAGAUACCCUGGUAGUCCACGCCGUAAACGAUGAGUGCUAAGUGUUAGGGGGUUUCCGCCCCUUAGUGCUGCAGCUAACGCAUUAAGCACUCCGCCUGGGGAGUACGACCGCAAGGUUGAAACUCAAAGGAAUUGACGGGGACCCGCACAAGCGGUGGAGCAUGUGGUUUAAUUCGAAGCAACGCGAAGAACCUUACCAAAUCUUGACAUCCUUUGAAAACUCUAGAGAUAGAGCCUUCCCCUUCGGGGGACAAAGUGACAGGUGGUGCAUGGUUGUCGUCAGCUCGUGUCGUGAGAUGUUGGGUUAAGUCCCGCAACGAGCGCAACCCUUAAGCUUAGUUGCCAUCAUUAAGUUGGGCACUCUAGGUUGACUGCCGGUGACAAACCGGAGGAAGGUGGGGAUGACGUCAAAUCAUCAUGCCCCUUAUGAUUUGGGCUACACACGUGCUACAAUGGACAAUACAAAGGGCAGCUAAACCGCGAGGUCAUGCAAAUCCCAUAAAGUUGUUCUCAGUUCGGAUUGUAGUCUGCAACUCGACUACAUGAAGCUGGAAUCGCUAGUAAUCGUAGAUCAGCAUGCUACGGUGAAUACGUUCCCGGGUCUUGUACACACCGCCCGUCACACCACGAGAGUUUGUAACACCCGAAGCCGGUGGAGUAACCAUUU
RNAcentral lists this ribosomal RNA (1402 nucleotides) under Staphylococcus sp. RNAcentral's name for it is "bacterial SSU rRNA". It matches the Rfam family "Bacterial small subunit ribosomal RNA". The record is from RNAcentral. Lineage: Bacteria; Bacillati; Bacillota; Bacilli; Caryophanales; Staphylococcaceae.